CUACGGGCGGCAGCAGUGGGGAAUUUUGCGCAAUGGGCGAAAGCCUGACGCAGCAAUACCGCGUGAGUGAAGAAGGCCUUUGGGUCGUAAAGCUCUUUUCUGGGGGAAGAUAGUGUCGGUACCCCAGGAAUAAGCACCGGCUAACUCCGUGCCAGCAGCCGCGGUAAUACGGAGGGUGCAAGCGUUGUUCGGAUUUACUGGGCGUAAAGGGCACGUAGGCGGCACAGCAAGUUAAGGGUGAAAUCCCGGGGCUCAACUCCGGAACUGCUCUUAAAACUGCUGAGCUAGAGAUGGUCAGAGGCGGGUAGAAUUCCUGGUGUAGAGGUGAAAUUCGUAGAUAUCAGGAGGAAUACCGGUGGCGAAGGCGGCCCGCUGGGGCCAUUCUGACGCUAAGGUGCGAAAGCGUGGGGAGCGAACGGGAUUAGAUACCCCCGUAGUC
Molecule: ribosomal RNA, 439 nt
Filed under: uncultured bacterium
Lineage: Bacteria
Description: partial 16S ribosomal RNA
Rfam family: Bacterial small subunit ribosomal RNA
Source: RNAcentral